This is a long non-coding RNA of Equus caballus (horse), 850 nucleotides long. RefSeq lists it as uncharacterized. The record is from RefSeq and is a predicted model, not a curated record. NCBI's taxonomy places the organism in Eukaryota, Metazoa, Chordata, Mammalia, Perissodactyla, Equidae.
AAGAAGAGAAAAAUCUCUUGAAACAUACAAGGAGGAAGAGGGCUUGGUGCUUAUCCACCUUUCCCCAAGAGACAGUAUGCUAACGAAAUACUGGUGUCUUGGAUGGAACCUGAGGGGACAGAGAGCGACGUGACACCUUGUGGAGGCUCCCCCCUUGCUCCCCUCAGCAAGUGCCACCGGCCAGCCUCACCAGCAGUAAUAAGAGAAGACAGAUGGAAGGUAUUAAUACAGCAAACUCACAGCUGGAUAGCACCAACCUGACCCAGGAGAAACUCCCCAGCCUGCCAGCUACAUUCCCUCUUGGAUUAUCUCCUCCAAAUUUAGCCCAUGCGCAGAGUCAAGGGAAACUACUCUCUCUAGUUCAAUAACCUGUGAAGCAUCAGGUGUCAACAGUUGUCUCAUGGCUCUAGAAAAAUGUUUUAGGAACUGAGGUACAGCCCCCAGAUAAAAAAGGCAGUUAUUCCAUAAAUGUUGACUGGGCAUCUUCCCUGUUCCUGGCAGCGUACGAGACUCCAGGAAUACAAGGAUGAAUGAAUAGCAGAGCUCCCUUGACAGAGAUCCACAUGCACCGCCUGGAAAGGUACGAGAUGCUAACUGCCUUUGUCUCCUUACCAUUUGUUGACAUCUCUAUGCCACCCAGUGCCUGGGACAUAGCAGGUGCUCAGUGAGAACUGAGGAAAUGGAUUCACAGUAUGGAAGGUGAUGCUUUGAGAAGUUGUGUGCUGUUGUCUCUGGAAACCCUCAAGCUGAAGUACUUGCCAGAGAUAUUCAUUCAUUCAUCCAGCAAAUAUUUACUGAGGAGUAAUACAUGUUUAUUUAUAAAAGGCAAAUAAAUAUUUAUAUAUUUCUA